This 466-nucleotide long non-coding RNA is filed under the name Rattus norvegicus (Norway rat). RNAcentral describes it as "long non-coding RNA NONRATT033458". Lineage: Eukaryota; Metazoa; Chordata; Mammalia; Rodentia; Muridae. The record is from RNAcentral.
GGAGGCCAGGCAAUGAGAAGAAGCUAGAGUUCUAAGCAAGUCCAGCUCAUAAAGGCCUUUUGGCUAGCAUUCUAGAGAGCUGCAACUUCUUCCUGGGGACAAAGGAACCAUGCAGGGACAUACAUAGGACAGUGGUGUAACCUGUUCGCUACGGCGGCUACUCUGUAGAUGAGAGGGACAUUGACAGUAACCUUAGCUCCCUCUUGAUUCCCCAGGAGUGGUCUGUCUGUCCUGCUGACUUUGAACAGAAACUAGCCUUAUUUUACAACCAUCAUCCAUGUUCCCAGAAGAGUUCAAGAAAACCAUCUUUUAAAAAGAAAAUUAGGGGGAUGUCUACAUGAAGUUCAGCUGUGGGAACUGGUGAAACUUGACAUUGAUUGGCAAACAGUUGUGUGAUCCCAGCUUGGCUAGGUUGCUGGCAGGACCGGUGCUGAGAGACUGAAGAACAUGGCAACCUACAUGGAUU